Nomia melanderi (Alkali bee) is the source of this 536-nucleotide non-coding RNA. The record is from RefSeq and is a predicted model, not a curated record. NCBI's taxonomy places the organism in Eukaryota, Metazoa, Arthropoda, Insecta, Hymenoptera, Halictidae.
GUUUCGCACAUCGAUCCAUGGGAUCUCUCGUGGGGGUCUCUCGUAGGGGUUCGAGGGGUUUCUCACAACGAUUCCGGGGGUCUCUUGUGGGGGUCUGUUGAGCAUCCUAGAGAGGUUUCUCUGGACGAUUCAGGUGGAUAUUUCGCGACGGUUUAAGGGGCUUCUCACACCGAUUCCGGAGGUCCUUCCCGGGUGUUGCAAGGGUUUCUUGAAAGAGUUAUUUUUUGGAGUGAUGGCGUUGACAAGUGACGAGAAAAACUGUAUAGCAGGCCAUCUAGCGAGAGUAUAGUUGUACUAUUUGGCGAGCAGCUUGGCCGUUAGAUUUGGCUAUACUAUUUCUAGAGUAGCUUGAGGGUUUUAGCAUAGAUGGCGCUGAUUGCGCGGCUAUUCCAGGGAAUUUAAAAUUCUGCAGUUUGGCGUGCUGGAGUGUGCAGGAAUCUUCUAGAACUUCAACAAGGAUUCAAUGGGAGUUUAUAAUUAAUAAUUAAAUUACUCACAACGCUAUUGUACUACACAUGUCAAUGUUAAGAAAUGGG